RNAcentral lists this small RNA (125 nucleotides) under Marmota monax (woodchuck). The record is from RNAcentral. Lineage: Eukaryota; Metazoa; Chordata; Mammalia; Rodentia; Sciuridae.
GCCAGGUGCAGUGGUGCAUGCUUGUAUUCCCAGCAACUUAGGAGGCUGAGGCAGGAGAAUCACAAGUUCAAAGCCAGCCUCAGCCAAAGUGAGGUACUCAGCAACAAAGUGAGACCCUGUCUCUA